Molecule: small RNA, 117 nt
Filed under: Marmota monax (woodchuck)
Lineage: Eukaryota; Metazoa; Chordata; Mammalia; Rodentia; Sciuridae
Source: RNAcentral
GUUGAGCAUGGUGGUGCAUGCCUGUAAUCCCAGCUCCUCAGGAGGUUGAGGCAGGAGGAUAACAAGUUCUUAGCAACUUGGUGAGGCCCUAAGCAACUUAGAAAGAUUCUGUCUCAA